AAAUGCGCCACUAGGCCCAAAACUAAACAAAAGAGAGUAAGUACGAGUAUAAUCAAAAGGAAUAACAAUAACUAAGCAUAAGUACUUACUAAACCAUGAUGUCUCAACUCAGCAUGAAUUUGCGUAAUUAAUAAAUCUACUAUAACAUGAAUGUACAUGAAUGUGACUAGCAUGUAUAAGCAUGAAUAUGCAACCAAUAGAAUGUCAACAAUGUCGAUAGUAAAAUGUCAUUGUUUACUAUUCUAGUCAAAGUCCAAAUGGCAUGUUC
RNAcentral lists this long non-coding RNA (268 nucleotides) under Ananas comosus (pineapple). RNAcentral's name for it is "long non-coding RNA (ACOM_LNC044640)". The record is from RNAcentral. Lineage: Eukaryota; Viridiplantae; Streptophyta; Magnoliopsida; Poales; Bromeliaceae.